This 424-nucleotide ribosomal RNA is filed under the name uncultured bacterium. RNAcentral's name for it is "partial 16S ribosomal RNA". It matches the Rfam family "Bacterial small subunit ribosomal RNA", at positions 354 to 796 of the family's 1533-position model. The record is from RNAcentral.
GUGGGGAAUCUUGCGCAAUGGGCGAAAGCCUGACGCAGCCAUGCCGCGUGAAUGAUGAAGGUCUUAGGAUUGUAAAAUUCUUUCACCGGGGACGAUAAUGACGGUACCCGGAGAAGAAGCUCCGGCUAACUUCGUGCCAGCAGCCGCGGUAAUACGAAGGGGCUAGCGUUGCUCGGAAUUACUGGGCGUAAAGGGCGCGUAGGCGGACAGCUUAGUCAGAGGUGAAAGCCCAGGGCUCAACCUUGGAAUUGCCUUUGAUACUGGCAGUCUUGAGUUUGGGAGAGGUGAGUGGAACUCCGAGUGUAGAGGUGAAAGUCGUAGAUAUUCGGAAGACAACAAGUGGCGAAGGCGACUCACUGGCCCAAUACUGACGCUGAGGCGCGAAAGCGUGGGGAGCAAACAGGAUUAGAAACCCAAGUAGUCC